RNAcentral lists this small nuclear RNA (63 nucleotides) under Trichobilharzia regenti. RNAcentral describes it as "U4 spliceosomal RNA". It matches the Rfam family "U4 spliceosomal RNA", at positions 1 to 63 of the family's 138-position model. Rfam says of the family: U4 small nuclear RNA (U4 snRNA) is a component of the major U2-dependent spliceosome. The structure of U4 snRNA from yeast and human has been reported. U4 snRNA presents a k-turn RNA motif in the 5p-SL related to recognition of Snu13 protein. Lineage: Eukaryota; Metazoa; Platyhelminthes; Trematoda; Strigeidida; Schistosomatidae. The record is from Rfam by way of RNAcentral.
AACUUUGAGCAGUGGCGGUACCGUAGCCAAUGAAGUUUUUCUAAGGCACGGUUAUAGCUUUUA